GAUGAACGCUGGCGGCGUGCCUAAUACAUGCAAGUCGAGCGAACAGACGAGGAGCUUGCUCCUUUGACGUUAGCGGCGGACGGGUGAGUAACACGUGGGUAACCUACCUAUAAGACUGGGAUAACUUCGGGAAACCGGAGCUAAUACCGGAUAAUAUUUCGAACCGCAUGGUUCGAUAGUGAAAGAUGGCUCUGCUAUCACUUAUAGAUGGACCUGCGCCGUAUUAGCUAGUUGGUAAGGUAACGGCUUACCAAGGCAACGAUACGUAGCCGACCUGAGAGGGUGAUCGGCCACACUGGAACUGAGACACGGUCCAGACUCCUACGGGAGGCAGCAGUAGGGAAUCUUCCGCAAUGGGCGAAAGCCUGACGGAGCAACGCCGCGUGAGUGAUGAAGGUCUUGGAUCGUAAAACUCUGUUAUUAGGGAAGAACAAACGUGUAAGUAACUGUGCACGUCUUGACGGUACCUAAUCAGAAAGCCACGGCUAACUACGUG
This 496-nucleotide ribosomal RNA is filed under the name uncultured bacterium. RNAcentral describes it as "partial 16S ribosomal RNA". It matches the Rfam family "Bacterial small subunit ribosomal RNA", at positions 28 to 507 of the family's 1533-position model. The record is from RNAcentral.